AUUGAACGCUGGCGGCAGGCCUAACACAUGCAAGUCGAACGAGUGGCGGACGGGUGAGUAAUGUCUGGGAAACUGCCUGAUCGAGGGGGAUAACUACUGGAAACGGUAGCUACUACCGCAUACCAUCGGAUGUGCCCAGAUGGGAUUGGCUAGUCGGUGGGGGAAAGGCUCACCUAGGCGACGAUACCUAGCUGGUCUGAGAGGAGGACCAGCCACACUGGAACUGAGAAACGGUCCAGACUGCUACGGGAGGCAGCAGUGGGGAAUAUUGGACAAUGGGCGCAAGCAUGAUGCAGCCAUGCCGCGUGUAUGAAGAAGGCCUUAGGAGUGUAAAGUACUUUCAGCGGAGAAGCGUUACCCGAAGAAGAAGCGCCGGCUAACUACGUGCCAGCAGCCGCGGUAAUAC
This 406-nucleotide ribosomal RNA is filed under the name uncultured bacterium. RNAcentral's name for it is "partial 16S ribosomal RNA". It matches the Rfam family "Bacterial small subunit ribosomal RNA", at positions 29 to 526 of the family's 1533-position model. The record is from RNAcentral.